UACGAAGGGUGCUAGCGUUGUUCGGAAUCACUGGGCGUAAAGCGUGCGUAGGCGGCUUUGCAAGUCAGGGGUGAAAUCCCACAGCUUAACUGUGGAACUGCCUUUGAAACUGCAUAGCUGGAGUGUCGGAGGGGAUAGCGGAAUUUCUAAUGUAGCGGUGAAAUGCGUAGAUAUUAGAAGGAACACCGGUGGCGAAGGCGGCUAUCUGGACGACAACUGACGCUGAGGCACGAAAGCGUGGGGAUCAAACAGG
This 253-nucleotide ribosomal RNA is filed under the name uncultured bacterium. RNAcentral's name for it is "partial 16S ribosomal RNA". It matches the Rfam family "Bacterial small subunit ribosomal RNA", at positions 524 to 776 of the family's 1533-position model. The record is from RNAcentral.